GCAGAACGACAGUUGAGUGUUUUCUGAAAAUAGGAGAGCGUAAAACUUAAUAUUUUUUAUCCAGGUGAGCGCCCUUUUUUGGCGUUGUGCUAAAACUGCUAAAAAAAAAAAACAAAACAAAACAAAAAACAAAACAAAACAAAACAAAACAAAAAACAAAACAAAACAAAACAAAACAAAACAAUGACAAAAACGUAUGCCCAAAACCACGCUUAUUAGAUUACAGAAAUGACACGAGAGACUCAAAGACAAUCAAACACGGGUUAUUGCAACAUCCUCGGGAACAUCUAAACCAGUAAUCGCGUGAAUUUAUCAUUCGUGCGACAUCUACUCCUCAAAGGAGUUACGCCUCCGACAACAAGUUACGGUAAUUUGUGGUCAUAUCCGUCAUCUUUACACACAACAAUGGAUGCAAGAGAGGGGAGUGACAGGCGAUUGUUUGCCUUUGAUUGAGAUUGUUACGUCUGGAAAAAGAUAAUCUGUUCGUAGAAAUUAGACGCCGCAGGUGAUAGAAUUUUUCAAACUUCUAUUCUAACAAAUAAAAGCGAGAGCAUUUGCACACCUUUCCACUUCGUGCAAUUUUCUAUUUUUCUAAAGUAAACAUUGUUAAUAUCAUAUUAGGAUUUGUUGAUAAUAGCAUUUAGCCAGUGACCUCUGAUAAUCUGUAGCCGGCUGUUCAUUUUUCCGAAACAGAAGAUGAAACCUCCAGUGUGAGAAUGUCACCUAAAAUAUUGCCCAUAAAAAGUAAUAGAUCCGUCCAUCGCAUUUGAGACUGAGCAGUCGAAAUGUGCCGAAACACAUAUGCAGCUACGAUUGUAGCUUCAACAAUGUAGACAUCUUAACAGAUAUAUGUAUUAAAAAAAGUGGUUAAAAUA
Long non-coding RNA from Stylophora pistillata, 875 nucleotides. RefSeq lists it as uncharacterized. The record is from RefSeq and is a predicted model, not a curated record. NCBI's taxonomy places the organism in Eukaryota, Metazoa, Cnidaria, Anthozoa, Scleractinia, Pocilloporidae.